GGGAAGGACCAUAGCUCAGCCGUAGAGCAUCAGUUUUGCAUGCAGAAGAUUCCAGGUUCAAUCCCUAGCUUUUUCU
Podarcis lilfordi (Lilford's wall lizard) is the source of this 76-nucleotide non-coding RNA. Lineage: Eukaryota; Metazoa; Chordata; Lepidosauria; Squamata; Lacertidae. The record is from the annotation of a GenBank genome assembly.